GACGAACGCUGGCGGCGUGCCUAAUACAUGCAAGUCGAGCGGAACUGGGGGAGCUUGCUCCUCCCAGUUUAGCGGCGGACGGGUGAGUAACACGUGGGCAACCUGCCCUGCAGAUCGGGAUAACUCCGGGAAACCGGUGCUAAUACCGAAUAGUUUGGCGCCUCUCCUGAGGCGCUACGGAAAGACGGUUUCGGCUGUCACUGCAGGAUGGGCCCGCGGCGCAUUAGCGAGUUGGUGGGGUAACGGCCCACCAAGGCGCAGAUGCGUCGCCGAACUGAGAGGGUGGCCGGCCACACUGGGACUGAGACACGGCCCAGACUCCUACGGGAGGCAGCAGUAGGGAAUCUUCCGCAAUGGACGCAAGUCUAACGGAGCAACGCCGCGUGAGUGACGAAGGUUUUCGGAUCGUAAAACUCUGUUGUGAGGGAAGAACACGUACCAACUAACUAUUGGUACCUUGACGGUACCUCACCAGAAAGCCACGGCUAACUACGUGCCAGCAGCCGCCGUAA
This 512-nucleotide ribosomal RNA is filed under the name uncultured bacterium. RNAcentral describes it as "partial 16S ribosomal RNA". It matches the Rfam family "Bacterial small subunit ribosomal RNA", at positions 28 to 523 of the family's 1533-position model. The record is from RNAcentral.